This 439-nucleotide ribosomal RNA is filed under the name uncultured bacterium. Its description in RNAcentral is "bacterial SSU rRNA". It matches the Rfam family "Bacterial small subunit ribosomal RNA", at positions 954 to 1392 of the family's 1533-position model. The record is from RNAcentral.
GCUAAACGCGAAGAACCUUACCAAGGCUUGACAUGGAUUUCUAAGCACGUGAAAGCGUGUGACCCUUCGGGGGACUUCCACAGGUGCUGCAUGGCCGUCGUCAGCUCGUGUCGUGAGAUGUUGGGUUAAGUCCCGCAACGAGCGCAACCCCUGUGAAUGUUGCCAGCACGUUAUGGUGGGGACUCUGUUCAGACUGCCCAGAUCAACUGGGAGGAAGGUGGGGACGACGUCAGGUCAGUAUGGCCUUACGCCUUGGGCUGCACACGUACUACAAUGCCCAGCACAAUGAGAACCGAGACCGCGAGGUGGAGGAAAUCUACAAAAACUGGGGCCCACGUUCGGAUUGGAGGCUGCAACUCGCCUCCAUGAAGCCGGAAUCGCUAGUAAUGCUGCAUCAGCUACGGCAGCGUGAAUACGUUCCCGGGUCUUGUACACACCG